GGGAAUUAGACUAGCAGGUGACGUGAUUCCCGAUCCCUUCGCUCGAUUCCUCUCCUCACGUGGUGUACCCGAUCAGAGUUUGGACAUUAACAGUUUGAGGGUUGAUUUUAGGUGUUUCGCAGUGACAAAAUUGGCAGGUUGUGCAACUGAGAUAUCUGAAAAAUGAUUCAGCAACAAUGCUCUAGAGUUGCCAAACAAGUGUGGAAGCCACUGCCCUCUUUUAUGCACAAGAGAGGGAUUCAUAGUCGUAACAAAAAGGCAAUGGAACUAGUGGCAAAAGGGUGGAGUGCUCUAUAGGAAGUAGAUAGGGUUAUCGACUAUGCCGAUCGGAAUGACACUCGCCUCAUCCCGCAACUCAGAGGUGCAAAGGAGAACUUUGAAUUGGCUCUUGAGAUUGACAACAUGAAUACUCAUGCACGAUACUGGUUGGCCAGGAUGCACUUUAAGUACCAUGUUCCUGGGGCUUGUAAAGCAAUGUGAG
Zingiber officinale is the source of this 481-nucleotide long non-coding RNA. RefSeq lists it as uncharacterized. The record is from RefSeq and is a predicted model, not a curated record. The transcript has 3 exons. NCBI's taxonomy places the organism in Eukaryota, Viridiplantae, Streptophyta, Magnoliopsida, Zingiberales, Zingiberaceae.